GAAAAUUGAUUUUGGCUAACUCUGAAGCCUUGGUUUUGAUAACCAUAGCCUCUCCCAUGACCAUUGUUACUUGAGAUAGGACCAGGACUAGUCUUCCUUCUAGCCUUCCAAUCAGGAGGAUAACCAUGUAGCUUGUAACACAUAGCACUGGUAUGACCAUCCCAGUUGCAAUAAUCACAAUGCAGGGUACUAGUAGAGUGUUUCUUAAGCUUGGACUGAGACUGAGACCCUUAGACCUCCGAAGGAAUCUUACCUUUUUCACUAAAAAACACCAUGGCAUCACUCAUAUCUCCAGUACUAGAAGAGCUAGAUAUGUCAACAGCAUUAGCCUUGCCUAGAGUUCUUUGACUUUAUUUCUUCAGCUAGAACAAGAGAAUAUGCUUUAUUUACAGUAGGUGGUGGAUCAAGCAUCAUAACUUGAAUUCUACACUGAUUAUAGGACUCAUUCAACCCAACUAAAAACUGCACUAUCCUUUGAUAAUCUGCAUAGAUUUUGGAUUCUGCCCAAUUGCAACCAGGACAAGGCAUUAGAGAGUCAUAUUCCAUCCAUAACUCCUUUAAUCUGGAGAAAUAGUGUGCUACAGAAGCAGUUCCUUGUGUUAGGAUAGCAAUUUUCUUGUGCGGGUAGAAAUUUCUCAAUCCAUC
Molecule: long non-coding RNA, 645 nt
Filed under: Capsicum annuum
Lineage: Eukaryota; Viridiplantae; Streptophyta; Magnoliopsida; Solanales; Solanaceae
Description: long non-coding RNA (CANN_LNC003496)
Source: RNAcentral